Molecule: ribosomal RNA, 358 nt
Filed under: Gerronema sp. 359-551
Lineage: Eukaryota; Fungi; Basidiomycota; Agaricomycetes; Agaricales; Porotheleaceae
Description: eukaryotic LSU rRNA
Rfam family: 5.8S ribosomal RNA (bases 1-105)
Source: RNAcentral
GAAAUGCGAUAAGUAAUGUGAAUUGCAGAAUUCAGUGAAUCAUCGAAUCUUUGAACGCACCUUGCACUCCUUGGUAUUCCGAGGAGUAUGCCUGUUUGAGCGUCAUUAAAUUCUCAAAACGUUCCCUUGACUUGUCUUCUGGGGUUUGCUUUUUGGAUAUGAGGGGUUUUGUGCUGGCUCUUUAAUUUGAGCUUUAGCUCCCUUUAAAUACAUUAGUGGUUGCUUCAUUCACUUAGAGUGUGAUAGUAUAUCUGCGCUCAGAGUCGAGUGAACCUUUUCAUCUGCUUCGAACUGUCUUUUGAGACAAUUAAUUGACAAUUUUGACCUCAAAUCAGGUAGGACUACCCGCUGAACUUAA